This 1035-nucleotide long non-coding RNA is filed under the name Bemisia tabaci. Its description in RNAcentral is "lncRNA ENSSSA1NGG004440". The record is from RNAcentral. Lineage: Eukaryota; Metazoa; Arthropoda; Insecta; Hemiptera; Aleyrodidae.
UCCCUAAUAAUCCCCAUAACCUCCAUAAUCAUCACCACCAUAAUCAUUACCACCAUAAUCAUUACCACCAUAAUCAUUACCACCAUUAUCAUUACCACCAUUAUCAUUACCACCAUUAUUACUAGCGUCAUAUGUGGAUCCACCGCCGCCACCGUAGCCCCAAUCGCUUCCUGGCUCAUAAGAAGCGGCCGACUCCUGCGGGGAGGGACCCACUCGGACCCUGAGGACUCCUGCCUGGCAGGCACGUCAGGAGGCACUUCGGACCUGCAGGACUCCUGCCUGGCAAACGGGUCAGGGGGUAGUUCGGACCCGGAGGAAGAUGAAGAAGUGCUCCUCGACAAAGCCAGAAGAGCUUCCUCUUCUAGCGCAAGAAGGAGAAGCCCUUCUUCGUUACCCUUCUCCUCUUCUUUUUCACUCUCUUCAUCUUCUUUCCCGCCCAGUUUGUGCCUCCUCCUCCUCUUCCCAACCCCUCCUUUCUUCUUCUUGUCUCUCUUUCCUGCCUUUAACACAAGACCCGCAGCUUUGCUCCCAAGUCUGCCUAUUCUCGAGUUUGAGAAGAUACGACUCAAUCUACCACUUCCUCCACCUACUCUACCAUUACCUCCACCUAGUCUACCACUAUUUUCAGCUAAUCUACCACUACCUCCAACUAAUCUACCUCCACCUCCAUCUACUCUACCACUACCUCCACCUACUCUACCACUAUCUCCUACUAAUCCACCACCACUUCCAGCUACUCUACCACUACCUCCAUCUACCUUAAUAAUUUUACCAACGCUUCCACCUUCUCCACCUAAUUUACUUCUGCUUCCACCUCCUCUACCCAAUUUACUUUUGCUUCCGCCUCCUUCACUCAAUCUACCACUGCCUCCAACUUUUCCAUCCAAUCUACUUUUGCUACCACCUUCUCCAUUCAAUCUACCACUUCCAAAUCUUCCAUCUAAUUUACUUUUGCUUCCACUUCCUCCAUCUAAUUUACCACCACCCUCAACACCUCCACUUAAUUUAUCACCGCCGCCUCCUCCGCUUACUUGA